RNAcentral lists this ribosomal RNA (253 nucleotides) under uncultured bacterium. Its description in RNAcentral is "partial 16S ribosomal RNA". It matches the Rfam family "Bacterial small subunit ribosomal RNA", at positions 524 to 776 of the family's 1533-position model. The record is from RNAcentral.
GACAGAGGGUGCAAACGUUGUUCGGAAUUACUGGGCGUAAAGCGCGUGUAGGCGGCUUUGCAAGUCGGGUGUGAAAUCCCUCAGCUUAACUGAGGAAGUGCGCCCGAAACUGCCGAGCUUGAAUACCGGAGAGGAUGGCGGAAUUCCCCAAGUAGAGGUGAAAUUCGUAGAUAUGGGGAGGAACACCGGUGGCGAAGGCGGCCAUCUGGACGGCUAUUGACGCUGAGACGCGAAAGCAUGGGGAGCAAACAGG